CUCGUAGGUGGUCCGCCACGUCUGCUGUGAAAUUUCGGGGCUUAACCCCGGACUUGCAGUGGAUACGGGCAGACUAGAGGUAGGUAGGGGAGAAUGGAAUUCCCGGUGUAGCGGUGAAAUGCGCAGAUAUCGGGAGGAACACCGGUGGCGAAGGCGGUUCUCUGGGCCUUACCUGACACUGAGGAGCGAAAGCGUGGGGAGCGAACAGGAUUAGAUACCCUGGUAGUCCACGCCGUAAACGUUGGGCGCUAGGUGUGGGGUCCUUCCACGGAUUCCGUGCCGCAGCUAACGCAUUAAGCGCCCCGCCUGGGGAGUACGGCCGCAAGGCUAAA
RNAcentral lists this ribosomal RNA (332 nucleotides) under uncultured bacterium. RNAcentral describes it as "bacterial SSU rRNA". It matches the Rfam family "Bacterial small subunit ribosomal RNA", at positions 568 to 898 of the family's 1533-position model. The record is from RNAcentral.